GACUCUCCUCCUGACAAUCUCCCUCUCAAACAAAACGAGCGACCUUGAAUCAAGACUGAACUCAAUGGAAACUAACCAAUUGGACAAAAAACAAGAUGAAACAAACAUCAUCGUUUUUCAACGACGAGGUCAAUUUGAUGUUGAUUUCCAUAGAAAUUUCUCCGAAUACGAGAAUGGUUUUGGAGGCUCAACCACCAUGUCAGACUUUUGGCUGGGAUUGAAAACAAUGCAUAACUUGACCAAACAAGGAAAAUGGAAAUUAAGAAUCUGGACGCGGCAAUUCUUAGACAAUCUAGUCAUUUGGGGCGAAUGGGAAGACUUCACGGUCGGCCCUCACCCCUUUUACCGGUUAUCAGUUGGACCAACGGUGGCGAGUAAGAACAUGUGGUACCUUGACGAUGCGGG
This is a long non-coding RNA of Symsagittifera roscoffensis, 405 nucleotides long. RefSeq lists it as uncharacterized. The transcript is spliced from 3 exons. Lineage: Eukaryota; Metazoa; Xenacoelomorpha; Acoela; Convolutidae. The record is from RefSeq and is a predicted model, not a curated record.